GUGCAGUAAUUGUUUUCAAGAUGGCCAAUGACGAGGAUUCACUAGAGGAUCAAAACCCUAAAUCUUGGACUGUUAGCAACGCUAGUAUCAUUGACAAGAAAGAAGAAGCAUCCAGCAAGUUCUCGGUCCAGGAUCAUCAACCACAAAGAGCAGUAGUCAACUUCUUAAAGGAUGAAAGUACUACCAAAACGAUCCAUGAGCAAUGGCAAGAAAAAGCUAAGGUUGUCUCGUAGCCUAUAAGCCGGUGUUAUCCCGAAUGAGCUUUCUUAUCCCAAACCCUCCCAUAUGUCUCUUGUUAAAUCAUUUUCUGGCUACUCCUCGUGUCAGAAUUAACGUUCUUGACCUUGUAAGGCCUUUUCUUGACCUUGUAAGGCCCUCCCCUAACGUUUCUCGUGCAUCCUGGUGUCUCCAACCUCACACUUCCUUCCCCCUUCUAUCCCUCCUGAGCUAUUCCCUAUUUUGUACGUCUACAAUCUAGAUGAGAUAUAAUAUUGAAAUAAAAGUCUGUGGCAAAUUAGGUUUUUA
Hordeum vulgare subsp. vulgare (domesticated barley) is the source of this 525-nucleotide long non-coding RNA. RefSeq lists it as uncharacterized. The transcript is spliced from 2 exons. NCBI's taxonomy places the organism in Eukaryota, Viridiplantae, Streptophyta, Magnoliopsida, Poales, Poaceae. The record is from RefSeq and is a predicted model, not a curated record.